CCUCGCAACGUGUAUUUAAUCAAUAAUUACAUUAAUUAAAUGCAAUGCUCGCUGAAAGCUUACUUAAAGAUGAUUCGACGACACAUAAUUUCGUGCCUGCUGGAACGGCACAUAUUUCAACGUUAAUAUAGCGUCAAUCGCGCGAAAAUGAUUUAUGUAACGAUCCAUGUGGUUUCUUAUGUAAGUAGCGACGCUCAGGAUCUCGAGGUGCCCAUCCACAAUUUUCGUUUUGCCGGGUUUUUCCGUUCGUCGAAACGCCGCGCCGCGCCGGCCGGCUCGGAUCACGCGGAAAAUGCGAACUCGCUUUAACGUCAUAAUAAAGUCGAGUUAUUAACCAUACCUCAACAACUGAGCCACAGGUAUGCGGAUUUUCCUCUUAUCUUGCAUAUUUCACGAUUGCGAUAAUGCAUAGUUCAAAACGAAAGCACUUGACGCAAACGCGAAGUUGCGCGCAGUUCGAAUAUUAACCGCAGACCUGCAAAAUGUCCCGAUAUCCUUUUACUUACCACUGGAUUACGUUCCGAUGAGACUUUAACCGUAAAUCAAAUUGAUAAGUCGAUUGAGUAUUGGACUGGUUAACAAAUGUUUAAUCAACUUCGUUAUAAUCUAAAAAUUCAUUUUUAAUCAAUAGCAUACCGAUCGUAAGUUUUGGAAAAUUUUUAAGUUGAGGUGGUUGAAGUAAGUAGAAAGAUAUCUAUACUUUUAACAAAUGUACAAAAGAUUUAAUAUCGAUUACACAUUACAAAACUGCGACGAUACUGAUAACUUUCACAAUCAAAUUUAAUCUUUAAUCAUAAGAAUGUCCAUGCUGCCUGAUAAAUAGAAAAGCUGAUAAAAUUUGAUAUCCGGUUUCCUUAAAUUACCCUGUAUUACAUCUUUCACGUUUGUAACAAGAUAAUUAUAUGUACAUCAAAGAAAAAAGAAGUAGAAAAAGACAAAGAAAAUGCGUCGCACUGGGGAAAAAAAUUUGUCAAAAAACUAAAAUAUUUAGUCCGAUACGUGCAACUAAAAAUUGAGUUGGUUUAAUUAAGUCUUGGUUAAAAAAUUUGAAUAGUUGAACUAUACCUUCCUUUGUGCAAUCAAAUAAUUGUCGAAUUAAUCCAAUUUAUUUGAUCGUAUCAAACUAAAUAUUUUAUUUUAUUUUUUUUUUUUAACAAAUUGUUUUCGGUGUCUAAACGAAAAGAGGUCGGCGAGUAUCGUCUGGCCGAGAAGUAAUAAUUUAGCAAAACUUUUUUUUUUUUUUUAAUUUUAAUACGCACCGUGACUUUCCUUUGGCUGACUAGAAUUUCCUCAAUGGUUUCGGAUGGUCACGGGCCCACACUGGAAACAGCCAGCUAUCCAAAACCGAGCAGUGCCGUACUGACCAGCGGUGCGUCGCGGCGUACGACGGAGUAUGCGGCGGAGGCUCGGCGACGGCUAAUCAUCAACGGCCCCGACGAGAAUUCAAUUCUUAUCAGUCGCAUGCAGUAUGUCAAACGCAAAGAUAUACAUAACGUAAUGCAAGCGCGUGAUUCUGAUAAUUUUUCAUCGUUUGUUGGCAUGUUCGCAAUUCGCAUAUCAUUCUCGGUGGAUUUGCUCGACGAUAUAUAUAUAACCGAUAAAUAACUGAUAAUUGUUUUAUCUUUUAUUGAGAAAUCUACCUAUGUAAACAUAUCGACAGAAAGAAAAUUUUUGUUAAAGUAUAUAAAAAUAUAACUUGAUAUUGAAAAUAAUUUUUUAUUAGACUAUAAGUGAUUAUGUAGAACGCUCAAAUUGGUUGCUACAAUGUCGAAACUUGUUGCAGCAUUGCUUAUUAUAUUUGAGUGUCUUAUGUAAUUAUUUUGAUGGUCCAAUAAAAUUAAUUUGAUUUGUACCCAACUAAAAUUUUAGAUGCUUCAGUACAAUUAUUCUUUCCACGUACAAUUCGCGUUUGUACAUACAACUGAUAAAUAAUUGACAAUUGCUUUAUCUUUUACUAGGAAACCUGCAUGAAAAGAAAAGUUUGAUUAAAGAAUCUAAACAUUUAGUUAGAUAAGAAAAAUAAUUUUGUGUUAGACUGUCAAAAUAAUUAUGUAGGAUGUUCAAACUGGUUGUUAGAAUGUCGAAAAUUGUUACAGCAUUGUUCAUUAUGUUUGAGCGUCUUAUAUAAUUAUUUUAAUGAUCGAACAAAAUUAAUUUUAGACAAGUACCAAACUAAACUAGUACUUCAGCAAAACCGUUCUUUUCCUGUACAAUUUGCGUCUGGAGAAUUUAAUUCUAGAGAAUAAAUGAUGCUUUUAUAAUUUUAGUUACAAUGUUUAUCUAUAUUAAUACCAAUGAAGCUUGUUAAAAGACAAAAGACUUUACUUUUAUGUCAUAAUAUUUCUUCUGCUCUGUGGUAAGACAGUUCUGUGGUAUUUAUGGAAAACAAACCACAAUACCAGAAGUGGAACACAAAUCUCUUGUUGUUCCGGUCACGUGCUUCAUAAUCACCGGCCAUUUAGCUGUGAAGAUUAGAUUUAGUUGAUUAGAUAAAAAAACAAAAAAAUUUUUACGGUGUGAAAAGAUGUUUCACGGCAUCAUAAGAUGAAUCUACGUUACUUUUUUUGCAUAGAACAAUCAUAAUUCGUUCAAGGAAAUUUAUUCUUUUAUUUUCAACGCUGCAUAUUCAAGUUGAAAAGGACAAGAAAAAAUCUAUUCUUCUCUUUUUUCCUUCUUUUUUAGUCAAUUAACGUGCUUCUGGAUAUAUAUAUAUAUAUAUAUAUAUAUAUAUAUAUAUAUAUAUACAUAUAUAUAAUUUCUAUUUAUUUGUAUACCACUUUCAGAUAACGUAGUGCAAGUACGUGAUUCUUCUGAAAUGAUUCUGCAAUUAAUAUUUUUUCUACCUGUUACAGCAUGAUUCACAAUUCACAUCAUUCCCGAUGAUUUGUCCUGAAGAAACGCACGAUAUAUGUAACCGAUAAAUAAUUGAUAAUUGUUUUAUCGUUUAUUAAAUAAUUUAAAAAAGGAAAAAUUUUGUUAAAAUAUCUACAUUUAACUGGAUAUAGAAAAUGAUUUCCGGUUAGAAUAUCAAAAUAAUUAUGCUGGACACUCAAGUUGGUUGCCAGAACUUCACAACUUGUUGCAGCAUUGCUCAUCAUGCUUGACCGUUUUAUAUCAUUUUGUAGGUUCAACAAAAUUAUUUUCAAAUCUGCAUCUAACUAAAUUUUUAAAUAUUUUAACAAAACAAUAUAGUUUUAUUUAAAAAAUGUUCUUUCCAUGUACAUAGAAGUUGGUAACACAAUCAAGAACAAAACGCAUAAAAACACAUUUAAAGUGAGCAAUCCUACUUGCAACUUUAUUCACAAGCAAUAUUAAAUUAAUUUUUAAAAAAUACAUCUUAAAAAUAUAUAUGAUAUCGUACGAAUAUUAUGAAUCAUGAUAUUCAUAAUAUCAUAUGAUAAUAUGUGCUAUAGGAUAAUAAUGCUUACCAGUUUUGAUUUUUAUUUUUAAUCGCAAUAAAUACUUUCAGCUCUCUUCAGGUAAUUGUUAGAUAAUAAUUUGACGAGUGUAAUGUCAUAAAAUCUGUAUAUUGCAAUUUUAUAUUGUUGAUAAUCCUGUCAUAUAUUAUUGAUUUCUUUCCUAUCGUAAAAUGUUAUUCUAAAGGAGGAAUUAUAUCUCUCUAUCAAAGUAAUAAUAAAUUUUUAUGUUUCAGAAUUAAACGUAUAAUGAUAAUGAAUUUAUGAAUGAGAAUUAAAACUUGUGUGCAUGAUUCUUAAAACAUAAUUUAUAUGUACAAUCUUUUAAUUAAUAAUUGGCGCAUGAUAAAUUUAUUUAAUAUCAAGAAUGCCUCCCGAUAUUGGAUUUAACAUUUUUAGAUCGAAGUAGAUUUUGUCAUCAUUGAUAUAUUUCUUCAGUAUAUUUAUUAUUAUUUUUUUUCUUUUUUUUAGAAAGAGAGAAAAUGCAAGUUAUACGUUUACAAGACUUUCGAUUUAGAUGUAUUUUAACUUAUUUCCUUAAUUCUAAGAACUUUUAAAUAAAUUUAUGUAUAACUCAGAGAAAUUGUUAUUAAACUUUGAUUAACUUAAACAAUUCAAAUCGAGAAAAGCUCGUAAACUGUCAUAGCAAGAUCUUGUAUAGCCCUGAAAUAAUAUUUUUUGUUGUGUGAUUUUGAAGUAGGUAUAUAUAUUUUCUAAUUUUCUAAACUGUGCAUCUUUAUAAUACUUUCGGUUUAAAACACACACGGAAAGAACAAUUUUACUAAUAUCUAAAAAUUUAAUUAGAUAUAGAUAAAAACAAAUAAUUUUAUGUUGGAUUAUCAAAAUUAUUAUGUAAGACAUUCAAGCAUGAUAAAACACGAAAAA
Long non-coding RNA from Solenopsis invicta (red fire ant), 4301 nucleotides. RefSeq lists it as uncharacterized. NCBI's taxonomy places the organism in Eukaryota, Metazoa, Arthropoda, Insecta, Hymenoptera, Formicidae. The transcript has 4 exons. The record is from RefSeq and is a predicted model, not a curated record.